GAUGAACGCUGGCGGCGUGCCUAAUACAUGCAAGUCGAGCGAACGGACGAGAAGCUUGCUUCUCUGAUGUUAGCGGCGGACGGGUGAGUAACACGUGGAUAACCUACCUAUAAGACUGGGAUAACUUCGGGAAACCGGAGCUAAUACCGGAUAAUAUUUUGAACCGCAUGGUUCAAAAGUGAAAGACGGUCUUGCUGUCACUUAUAGAUGGAUCCGCGCUGCAUUAGCUAGUUGGUAAGGUAACGGCUUACCAAGGCAACGAUGCAUAGCCGACCUGAGAGGGUGAUCGGCUACACUGGAACUGAGACACGGUCCAGACUCCUACGGGAGGCAGCAGUAGGGAAUCUUCCGCAAUGGGCGAAAGCCUGACGGAGCAACGCCGCGUGAGUGAUGAAGGUCUUCGGAUCGUAAAACUCUGUUAUUAGGGAAGAACAUAUGUGUAAGUAACUGUGCACAUCUUGACGGUACCUAAUCAGAAAGCCACGGCUAACUACGUG
This 497-nucleotide ribosomal RNA is filed under the name uncultured bacterium. RNAcentral's name for it is "partial 16S ribosomal RNA". It matches the Rfam family "Bacterial small subunit ribosomal RNA", at positions 28 to 507 of the family's 1533-position model. The record is from RNAcentral.